UACGUAGGGUCCGAGCGUUGUCCGGAAUUAUUGGGCGUAAAGGGCUCGUAGGCGGUUUGUCGCGUCGGGAGUGAAAACACGGGGCUUAACCCCGUGCCUGCUUCCGAUACGGGCAGACUAGAGGUAUGCAGGGGAGAACGGAAUUCCUGGUGUAGCGGUGAAAUGCGUAGAUAUCAAGAGGAACACCUGCGGCGAAGGCGGGUUGCUGGGCUGACACUGACGCUGAGGCGCGAAAGCUAGGGGAGCGAACGGG
Molecule: ribosomal RNA, 253 nt
Filed under: uncultured bacterium
Lineage: Bacteria
Description: partial 16S ribosomal RNA
Rfam family: Bacterial small subunit ribosomal RNA
Source: RNAcentral